RNAcentral lists this ribosomal RNA (446 nucleotides) under uncultured bacterium. RNAcentral's name for it is "bacterial SSU rRNA". It matches the Rfam family "Bacterial small subunit ribosomal RNA", at positions 330 to 792 of the family's 1533-position model. The record is from RNAcentral.
GCCAGACUCCUACGGGAGGCAGCAGUGGGGAAUAUUGCACAAUGGGGGAAACCCUGAUGCAGCGACGCCGCGUGAGUGAAGAAGUAUUUCGGUAUGUAAAGCUCUAUCAGCAGGGAAGAAAAAAGACGGUACCUGACUAAGAAGCCCCGGCUAACUACGUGCCAGCAGCCGCGGUAAUACGUAGGGGGCAAGCGUUAUCCGGAAUUACUGGGUGUAAAGGGUGCGUAGGUGGCAUGGUAAGUCAGAAGUGAAAGCCCGGGGCUUAACCCCGGGACUGCUUUUGAAACUGUCAUGCUGGAGUGCAGGAGAGGUAAGCGGAAUUCCUAGUGUAGCGGUGAAAUGCGUAGAUAUUAGGAGGAACACCAGUGGCGAAGGCGGCUUACUGGACUGUCACUGACACUGAUGCACGAAAGCGUGGGGAGCAAACAGGAUUAGAUACCCCAGUA